Molecule: ribosomal RNA, 142 nt
Filed under: uncultured Methanosaeta sp.
Lineage: Archaea; Methanobacteriati; Methanobacteriota; Methanomicrobia; Methanotrichales; Methanotrichaceae
Description: partial 16S ribosomal RNA
Rfam family: Archaeal small subunit ribosomal RNA
Source: RNAcentral
AAUGGGUAUCUACCCCGAAAGGGGACGGGAAUCUCCUAAAACCAAUCUUAGUUCGGAUUGAGGGCUGCAACUCGCCCUCAUGAAGCUGGAAUCCGUAGUAAUCGCGUUUCAACAGAACGCGGUGAAUACGUCCCUGCUCCUU